This 465-nucleotide ribosomal RNA is filed under the name uncultured bacterium. RNAcentral describes it as "partial 16S ribosomal RNA". It matches the Rfam family "Bacterial small subunit ribosomal RNA", at positions 29 to 507 of the family's 1533-position model. The record is from RNAcentral.
AUGAACGCUGGCGGCGUGCUUAACACAUGCAAGUCGAACGAUGAAGCCCAGCUUGCUGGGUGGAUUAGUGGCGAACGGGUGAGUAACACGUGAGUAACCUGCCCUUAACUCUGGGAUAAGCCUGGGAAACUGGGUCUAAUACCGGAUAGGAGCGUCCACCGCAUGGUGGGUGUUGGAAGAAUUUAUCGGUUUUGGAUGGACUCGCGGCCUAUCAGCUUGUUGGUGAGGUAAUGGCUCACCAAGGCGACGACGGGUAGCCGGCCUGAGAGGGUGACCGGCCACACUGGGACUGAGACACGGCCCAGACUCCUACGGGAGGCAGCAGUGGGGAAUAUUGCACAAUGGGCGCAAGCCUGAUGCAGCGACGCCGCGUGAGGGAUGACGGCCUUCGGGUUGUAAACCUCUUUCAGUAGGGAAGAAGCGAAAGUGACGGUACCUGCAGAAGAAGCACCGGCUAACUACGUG